AGGUUACAUCACCAUAUGGCAGCGUUUUGCACCACAGUGAAAACGCUACGCAUGGUCAGUUUGCGUUUACAACCCAAGAAUCAGGAACCUACUUGGCCUGUUUUGAGGCUGUAGGGAAUAGUCACGGCAACAAGGAUAUCAGCAUCAACCUUGACUGGAAAACUGGAAUCGCGGCCAAGGAUUGGGACUCCAUUGCCAGAAAAGAGAAAUUGAUUGCUCGGAUUCAAGUUUCCUUAUCUUGAAAACGUUUAUGCUAAUGAUUUGGCGUUAAUGUUCUUUGAUUGUUCAAGUUGUGCAUUUAACUGUUAAGGUAAUGGAACAAAACCAUCUAGCUGAUUCACUAAUGUAUGAAAAGAGAUUUCUAUGUGAUUUUGAUAAGAGAAUCAUAUUGACACAAGGGUUGUGCAAAUAGACCGUUUUGUGAAUAUAAUGUAUAUUCAUCAGUUCUUGAUAUAUCGACGGUCUUGGGCAUACGCUACGCAUGGUCAGUUUGCGUUUACAACCCAAGAAUCAGGAACCUACUUGGCCUGUUUUGAGGCUGUAGGGAAUAGUCACGGCAACAACGAUAUCAGCAUCAACCUUGACUGGAAAACUGGAAUCGCGGCCAAGGAUUGGGACUCCAUUGCCAGAAAAGAGAAGAUCGAGGUCAGCUCUCCAUUUCCCAAUAAAAUUUUACAAUUUGCACUUAAAAAUAUUCAACACACUUAUAAGAGUAGUUUGUGGAAUAAAGUUAAGUCUCUAUACGAAGCACUAUUAUGCAUUAAAUCGUA
This 770-nucleotide long non-coding RNA is filed under the name Brassica napus (rape). RNAcentral describes it as "long non-coding RNA (BNAP_LNC010126)". The record is from RNAcentral. Lineage: Eukaryota; Viridiplantae; Streptophyta; Magnoliopsida; Brassicales; Brassicaceae.